Molecule: ribosomal RNA, 425 nt
Filed under: uncultured bacterium
Lineage: Bacteria
Description: partial 16S ribosomal RNA
Rfam family: Bacterial small subunit ribosomal RNA
Source: RNAcentral
GUGGGGAAUCUUAGACAAUGGGGGAAACCCUGAUCUAGCCAUGCCGCGUGAGCGAUGAAGGCCUUAGGGUAGUAAAGCUCUUUCAGCUGGGAAGAUAAUGAGGGUACCAGCAGAAGAAGCCCCGGCUAACUCCGUGCCAGCAGCCGCGGUAAUACGGAGGGGGCUAGCGUUGUUCGGAAUUACUGGGCGUAAAGCGCGCGUAGGCGGACCAGAAAGUUGGAGGUGAAAUCCCAGGGCUCAACCUUGGAACUGCCUUCAAAACUCCUGGUCUGGAGUUCGAGAGAGGUGAGUGGAAUUCCGAGUGUAGAGGUGAAAUUCGUAGAUAUUCGGAGGAACACCAGUGGCGAAGGCGGCUCACUGGCUCGAUACUGACGCUGAGGUGCGAAAGCGUGGGGAGCAAACAGGAUUAGAUACCCCAGUAGUCC